Phoenix dactylifera (date palm) is the source of this 574-nucleotide non-coding RNA. The record is from RefSeq and is a predicted model, not a curated record. NCBI's taxonomy places the organism in Eukaryota, Viridiplantae, Streptophyta, Magnoliopsida, Arecales, Arecaceae.
UCUCCCCAAAGCAGGCUAUAAAAGCCGAAGGAGUUCUUCACCGAGGCAUCUUUCCCUCCUCACUGCCUCUUGCGGAGCUCCUCAGAUCCACUGUCAAGCCGCCGGAGGAAGCGGGCCAGGCUGCCGGAGGAAGCUCUCCAUCUCUUCCUCGGGGCUACAUUGCUGUGUACGGCCCUCGUCAGCGGGUUAUAAUAGCACGGCAUACGGUCUCACCAGCGGAUUAUAAUAGCUCGGCAUAUGGCCCUCGCUAGCAGGUUAUAAUAGCUCGGCAUUCAGCUUUGCCAACGGGUAAUAGUAGUUGGUAAAGAUUAUGGCCCUAUCAUGGAUAAUAAAUAGUGACCAUAGCUGCACUAUCAUCUGAGGGUAUGGAUUUCAAAGCAUGGAAUAAUAGCAAUGUUUUAUGAUGCAUAUCCAUAUUUAUGAAUUUGCAUGAUUGAGCAUGCAUUGCUUUAUUUUUAAUAUAUGUAUUAUGAAAUGUUUAUCUUGGAAUAUCUGUUAUUUUACUUAAUUAAUGUAUUGAAAUGGAGAAUAUUAUGCUUGAUCUGGUAAGAUUGUGCACGGUUAUUUACUGAGC